Molecule: ribosomal RNA, 435 nt
Filed under: uncultured bacterium
Lineage: Bacteria
Description: partial 16S ribosomal RNA
Rfam family: Bacterial small subunit ribosomal RNA
Source: RNAcentral
AGCGAACGCUGGCGGCAGGCUUAACACAUGCAAGUCGAGCGGGCACUUUCGGGUGUCAGCGGCGGACGGGUGGGUAACGCGUGGGAACGUGCCCUCUGGUUCGGAAUAACUCAGGGAAACUUGAGCUAAUACCGGAUACGCCCUUUUGGGGAAAGGCUUGCUGCCGGAGGAUCGGCCCGCGUCUGAUUAGCUAGUUGGUGAGGUAACGGCUCACCAAGGCGACGAUCAGUAGCUGGUCUGAGAGGAUGAUCAGCCACACUGGGACUGAGACACGGCCCAGACUCCUACGGGAGGCAGCAGUGGGGAAUAUUGGACAAUGGGCGCAAGCCUGAUCCAGCCAUGCCGCGUGAGUGAUGAAGGCCUUAGGGUUGUAAAGCUCUUUUAUCCGGGACGAUAAUGACGGUACCGGAGGAAUAAGCCCCGGCUAACUUCGUG